UGAAGCGGGCUUUUCUGUGGAGAAAGGGGUGCCACUUCAGGAUCACAGGCAUGCGCCACCCCACCUGAUGGAGGAUUUCAGAUUUGAACCUGACUUCCAGGACCUUAGGAAGACACACACUCGAAGACAGAGGACUUGAAUAGAAAUUCCUCUGAUGAUUCGCAAGUGGCCAUAAGCACAAAGAAGAAAGCUCAGCAGUGUCAUCAAAAUGCAGAUCACACCAGAGCUGGGGAUUGAAACGCCAAGCGGGAGCUCCAUCCCUGAGCCACACCUCCAGCCCAGGAUCUGUUCUAGGACCUGCAGACACAGCCUCAACCGGACAGCCUCCCAGCCUGGCUCAGGUCCCCUGCGGUCACUCCUGGAGUUCCCAGCAUUCCACUUCACUGCAAAAGACAUCCCAGGAAAAUUGAGCUCCGGUAACAUGUCGCAGACUCGGCUUCUCCCUGCUGUAAGCGGGCAGAGGUGCCCUCCUGGCUGCCCAGCGGAGCUCCUAAGGCCCAGCCGCCCCCUUGCCCCACUCGCCCCAGGGAGCCCAGCGCAGCACCCCAGGCCUGGAACAAGGAGCCUCUCAGGAAACGUUGGUGGAUCAAAUAAAUGAGCCGUCGUGUCGCCUGCUUCUGGAACCAGAAUGAAAGGAAUCCAGUGAGUGCGUGCAAGGGCACGUGCCUGCGCAGACUGUGAUGUGUGACGUUGAAAUAAAGAGCAAAGUUGUGGAAGGAUAAAAAGGGUUUAUUCUUCUGUACUUUGUAAUCUUCCGAUUGCUUUGUAACAUUUCACAUUUCAUCAGUAAGUUUUCCGAGAAA
Molecule: non-coding RNA, 803 nt
Organism: Urocitellus parryii (Arctic ground squirrel)
Lineage: Eukaryota; Metazoa; Chordata; Mammalia; Rodentia; Sciuridae
Source: RefSeq, a predicted model, not a curated record